AGUAAUGUAUGGGGAUCUGCCCGAUAGAGGGGAAUAACUACUGGAAACGGUGGCUAAUACCGCAUAAUGUCUACGGACCAAAGCAGGGGCUCUUCGGACCUUGCACUAUCGGAUGAACCCAUAUGGGAUUAGCUAGUAGGUGGGGUAAAGGCUCACCUAGGCGACGAUCUCUAGCUGGUCUGAGAGGAUGAUCAGCCACACUGGGACUGAGACACGGCCCAG
RNAcentral lists this ribosomal RNA (222 nucleotides) under uncultured bacterium. RNAcentral describes it as "partial 16S ribosomal RNA". It matches the Rfam family "Bacterial small subunit ribosomal RNA", at positions 109 to 334 of the family's 1533-position model. The record is from RNAcentral.